Molecule: long non-coding RNA, 1124 nt
Filed under: Homo sapiens (human)
Lineage: Eukaryota; Metazoa; Chordata; Mammalia; Primates; Hominidae
Source: RNAcentral
GGCGCAGCGCGCGGCGUCAGUCUUGGCUGGCAGACCUGUACUCCGUACUCCGUACUUCGUAGUCGCAGCGGCGCGGUCUUCGGCAGUCUAGUCAUCCACCGCCAUCCUGGGCCCCACGUGUUGCCUGACCAUUCCUGAGCCCAGGUGGGAGCCGUGGCUGAGGUGACGGUCUCAAAGUGGAAGAGCUUACUGUCACAGCAACUCCUUUGCAAGAUGCCCCGGCCAGGAAUAGUUGCUGAACACCCCAGGCCUGCUGAGGUCCCUCCUUGAGUCUCAUGUUCAAGCAGUCUUGUGAGUAAAGCACUGGCUACCCCUUUUCACUUACUAUCUUUUCAAGCAUGUUCUACCACCUUGGAAGGUAAGAGGUUAGUACCUUCUUCCAGAGCAGAGGGCAGGCAUUCUUGCUGUGCGUUGUGAAAGGGUAGAGUCCUGCGCUCCUUUCUUGUAGUAGUCCAAUGGCUCAUGCAGGUGCCUCUGACUCCCCUAUGGGAACUGGGGCUUGGGAGGGUGGUGGAAAAUGCUGAUGCUCUGGCUAUUGCUAUUGUUUUGAAUAAUCAGUGGUCCCUUGUCCCUAAUCGAGGAAUUUUGUAUUUUCUACCAGUGUCCAUGAAACUGGGAGGCGACCGUGUUAGCUGCCAGUUCCUGACAGCCACCUCUCACCAGUGGCUUCACUCUGUGUCCCUGACCCAGCACAUGGCACAAGAGUGCCUGCCAUCCGUCAGUGUUUCUACAGCAGCAAUCCCAAGAUGCUGGAGCUAGAGGGGACCUGACCUGAGAGAAGAUACCUUCAGUGGCUGCCAGGCUGUUCCUUGGAACCUGUGCAGGGAUGAGGCCUGCCUGUGUUAAUACACCUAGUGAGGAGUGGAGCUGAAUUUGAAUGCAAGCCUUGGCACCUUAAUUGAGCAAGUUUGAAACCUCGCUUGUUGCCCUUCUGGAAGGAGUCAGGAAUUUCCAGUUCUGGGCCUGGGCUGUGGGUCUGGCAGACAGACCUCUGGCCCUAGGUUUGGGUGCCAGGUUCUCUGCUUCCAGAAUGAGAAGCUUUGCUGUGCACCAGGACCUGGGCCCUUCUGGUAUCUCCUGAAUGAAAAACAAGGGAUAUUUAAUAAAUAUGGAUUUAAAUAUGU